This is a long non-coding RNA of Diceros bicornis minor, 5566 nucleotides long. RefSeq lists it as uncharacterized. Lineage: Eukaryota; Metazoa; Chordata; Mammalia; Perissodactyla; Rhinocerotidae. The transcript is spliced from 5 exons. The record is from RefSeq and is a predicted model, not a curated record.
GCUGACGUCUGUGGACCCGGUGUCGUGCGCACUCGGAGCGGACGGAGGUUUCACUGUAAAUGGGAUUGCUCAAUAUUAAGAUGACACAUAUUUUCCAUUCCGUGGUGGAGGAAGAAACAAUGCAAUGGGUUGUAAAUAUUGCACAGCAAAGUCACAGCUGGAGAGUGGCUUGAUAAGCGAACCAUACAUUUUCCAUGUUGAAUCUCCCAUGCCCUCUACUGGAGAGGCUCUCUGAACAGCAUGUUGAAAGAAACAAAAAUGUAAACAAAAAAGAGAAGAAAAGAAAACAGAAGCUCUGUAGGACCACUGGAAAAGAGGGAAAGGCACCGCUGACCUGAGGAAUGUGGAACUUUGGGAAUAUGUGAAACAGAGGGGAUCGAACUGAAGCAAAACUAAUCAGACUUGAGGAGCAGAUGGUUCAGAGUUUCUCUUCUUGGAGAAUGUGUGGUCACUGCCAUACAGCGUUGCUGUGGAAACAAGAGAUUAGAUGCUGUCUUCAUUUAUUGCGGCAGUGAUGUCUCUUCUGAUCAGACAGUAGUUUCUCGGAGUGCAGGGAAAAGCAAAGUCUCUGUGUCCAGGCUUCAUAAAUCUGUCAACAAUUGCCAAACUCGGAAAGCCACAUGAAAAGAGAUGGGGUCAAAGAAAGGAAGAUCGGAGGACGUCCUUGACUGUCACUUCUGGUAAAAGCAUUGGAAAAUCUGCUCAUCUGAAUUCUAGACAAUGUGGUAAGGAAGGUUUUGUGCCUGCUGAUUUUAUCUAAAGACAGAGAGGAAAAGAGGCCCCUACUAAAUGUUUGAUAAAUUGUUCUUAUGUCAGUACGCUCACAAAACUGCAAAACAGAUUUCCUUUACCAGCUGUGAAAGUGCAAUGUAUUAUAGACAAUAUAUCAGUUUAGAGUUACAACUCAGUCACCUCAGAGAACCACUGGAAUAUUUGCAGAAAUCACAUAUAUUCCUUUCCUAUUCUAGUGGUUGGCUGGAUGACUCAUUUUCAGACUAAUAUUCAAGCUACACGAAGGUGAGUUGUUCACUCUUUGGUACAGACUUUAGUGCUGGAGAGAAGUGGAUUUGAAUCUCAGCAGUCUCUUGCUAGUUGAGGAAUCCUGUGCAAGUCACUUAGCUUUUCUAGGCCUCAGGUCUUCAGCUGUCAGAUGAAGAUAACAAUGGGUUGGGUGUGGAGUAUAAGAGAAAACGAGGCAUCAAGAAUGAUGCUAGCUUUUUGGCUUGAGCAAUUGGCAGGAUGGAGUUGCCAUCAAUAGCCAUAAGGGUUUGCAGGGGAGAGGAUAAGGUUUUGGAAGUGGUGCUCACUGCUGGCCGUGUUAGAUAUAAGAUGCCUUUCAGACAUCUAAGUGAAGAUGUUGAGCAGGACGUUGGAUAUAAAAGUCCAGAAAGAGAUUUGGGAGGGAGAUAAAUAUUUGGGAGUUGACAUCAUGUGGAUAGUAUUCAAGGCCAUCACUAAGGGAAUCAGUGUAGGUAAAGAGGCCUUCUGAGGCUAAGAGGUUGGAGAGAAGAGGAAUCUAUAAAGGAACCUGAGAAAGGGUGGCGAUGUGGUAGGAAGAAAUCAAGAGAGUUGGUGUCCUGGAAGUCAAGAGAAAUAAAAUAUUUCAAAGAGGAGAGAGUAAUCACUUGUAUUAUAUAUACUGCAGUUAAGCAACAUGACGACUGAGAAACGACAAGUAACUUCAACUACUGGAUUAUUGGCAAUCUUGAGUAGAGGAGUGGUGGGGAUAAAAUUUGUGGUGAACUUAAGACAGAGUAAGAGGUGAAGGAGAGAAAUUGGAGAUGGUGAAUAUAGGCAUUUUUAGGAGUUUGCUGCAGAGGGGAGCAAAGAAAUAGGACUAGCUGGCAGAAAACGUAGGGAUCAAAAUUCUUUUUUUUUAGGCAGCGAAAAAUAACAGUGUCCGUGGGCAGAUAUGAAAGAUCCAGAGGCCCAGCAUGAAAGGAAGGAUUGGUGAUAGAGGAGAGAGAGGGGAGAAAUGCUGGGCAAAGUCCUUGUGCAGCCUCAGGAGAGGGGGAUCUAGUUUACCUCUGCUAGGGGUACAGACAUUUCUAGAUGGUAACUGGAGAGAAGGAAGGAUAUGUGGGCACAGACACAGGUGGGUAGUUCUGAAGCAGGAACAAGGUCAUCAGCUGGGUGAGUCUGAGAAGGAGCUGUUAGAAGUUUGGGGACAGAGGAGCAGUUAGGAAAUAGUCAUCAAGGAGAGUAGGAGAGUGAAUAACUAAGGAAAUGGAGCAUCAUGGUGAGCGGCUCCAAAGGCCCACUCCAGGUAAUGAUCAGAACAUACAGGAGAUUAGCUCUUUUAUUUUACAUAAACAUUUCAGCCUUCCAGAUCAUCUAAAGGGUUUCAAAUAAUGAAAACAUUGUCUUGGAGCAGUUGUAUUCUACGGAGACUAAAUUUCUACCCACCUUAACUAUCCCUUGGGUUAAAGUACAGGUUUUAUUUAUGCUAUAAUUGGAAAUAUAUAUUAAGCUCACGAAUUACAGCCAGGAUGCCCUGUCCUGUUGUCAGAAUCAAAGGCUGAAGAAAGACUCAAAAAUUUACGUAAACAAUCUCUAUUUGGAUAUGAAUUAAACAUUUCAAACUCAACACAUCCUAAACAGAACUUUAAUCUGUUCUCCUCUCCUCCCGACCUCCGCACCACCGCUCCCAUCCUGUUCCUUUCUGGAUCUCCUCAGUCUCAGCAAAUGUCACCACCAUCCAUCUACUCACUUUUAGCCAAAAGACCUGUCAAUACAUGUCCAAAAUAUUUCUCAUAAACCUUUUACUCCUUUCCUUCUCUACUGAUAUUACUGUAACUCAAGCGACUCUCUCUUCUCACUUAGAUUGUUAACAAGAACCUUCUAACCCACCUCCCUGCUUCUACUGGUGUCUCUGCUACGGUCCACAAGUAAGCCAGAGUGGUCCCUGUCACCCUGUUUGAAACCCUCCAGCGGUUUCCCGUUGUGCUUAGAAUAAAAUCUGCACGUUGCCUAAAUGGCCGUGUCUUGGCUUGCUUUUCUACCAGUCUGACCUCAGCAUGUUCCACUGAUAAUGCUGGCUCACUGGAUUUUAGCCGUAGGGGUCACCUUCUCUUUCCUUUCAGCUUUGCACAAGUUAAGUGCUUUCCUGUCACUGGGCCUUUGUAAUUUGUCAUUUCCUCUGCCUGAAUCCUAAUCUCUCAACUCUUUGUAUAGCUGCUUUCUUCCAAUUGUCUUAUAAACACAAUUCUUUUUUUAAACUCAGACGCCGCGUCCUCAGAGAGCCCUUUCCAGACCAUUCUACUUAAGUACCCUCAUCUUGUCUCGAAGGUACUUUCUGUUGUAUUAGUCAGUUUUCCUUCACAGCACGUAGCAGAUUCUGAGUUUUUGUUUGCGGUUUUAUUCUCUGUCUCUUCCUGCUCCUACUAGAAGCAAGCUCAUUGAGGACAAGGUUCUUGUCUGUCUUAUUCUCUGUUCGUGCAGCUCCCGAAACAGUGCCAGCACAUGGGGGUCCCCCAGAAGGUGAUAUGACGUGCUGGGAAAAAAAUGGAAGCCAAAACAUGGAUGUUUUUGUGCCUUUUGAAUUUGCUAUUUGAUUCAUCUGUCAAGAAACUAUCUUGCUAAGUUGUAUGUAAGUUGUAGAUGAUUUACUGUACAGUUAUACUGUAUAUCGUGGAGUUAAAAGCAUGCGCUCUGGAGCUAUGCUGCCUGAAUGAAAAUGACUGCUGUGUGACUUUGGACAAAUUACUUACCUUCUCUGAGUCUUCAUUUCCUCAUCUGUGAAACAGGGCUAAUAAUAAUAUAUAUAUCUAAAAUAGCACUUUUCUGAGGAUUAAAUGAGUUAAUUUAGCAUAGUGCCUGGUAUAGUAAGAACUCAAUAAAUAUUACCUAAUAUUAAUUUUUAAUUCGUGCAUAACUCAUACAAUUUCCUAGCCAUAGAAGCAGUAGCUGAGGAAAGAUAAAAAUGAUUUAAAUAGCUUUUAAAGAUAUUUUGUAUAUGCCAUGUUAGGAAAUAAGCCGAUUUAAAUGAUCUUAAAAUUAGUCUUUUUGAUGAGACUAAUAUAUUUAUGCAAAAAGAUUUUUGGCCCUCUGGCUUUAGCUUCAAGAAUAGUUUAGUAUAAUUUACUGAAAAUUGUAAUGGUGUCUGGCAGUGUGCCAUAAUUGGCCAGUUCAUAAAAUUAAACUGAUGAUUAGGAAAACUGUUUUGAAAAUAUUGUUAAAGCAUCCAGUGUGGAAGUUGUUCUGUAAGGACUGACUGCGGUAUGAAGACACAUUUAUCUUGCUCAAAGGAAAGUGCUUAAGAGUAGCUUAUCUUACAAACUGAUUUGGUUUAAAAUGUUUGCUCUCUGUGAAGAAAACACUGCAUGAUUCUUAAGUCUUGUUCUAUUAUAUGUAAAUUUUUGUUUAACUUUGCCGAGGGGAAUAGGACAUGUUUUCUUAAGAAAAAAAUGUCUUUAAUAUUAGUCAUCAGAAUGUGACUGUAAAUCUCUAUAUUAAAGCCUAAAACAUAAUCUUUAGCAUUCAGCCCCAAAUGGCCUUUACAGUAGUUCCCAUUUUCAAAAUAAAGGAGAGAAGCUUUGUCACCAGAGUAGCCAUCCAGCUUAGGUUUCAUUCUCUUUCUCUUUUGGACAAAGGAAUGAGAAUACAAGAAGCAAGACCGGGAGAACCAUUUAGGACACCAGCCUUGGGGUAAAAGGGGUUUUCUAUUACAGGUCAGUGUUAUAACUAAAAGUAGGCUCAGGAAGUCAAUGCUGGCUUUCUGAAAAGGGAAACUAAAGGUUCCUGGUGCCCUGCCCAGUAUUCAGAGUGUGGCGUCAGCCCUCCAGCAGAGCAGCCUCAAAUCUCAAGGGUACGACAGCUGCCAGGCCAGGGUCUUCUUGGCUGAAUAGCGAUUGGAGUGGGCUGGAGUAAUACGUACUACCUUGGCCAGGAGAGGAGGCAGGGAGGAAAUGAUAACUAUGCAGAUUUCCAAGCAAUUGAAAAUAAUCAAAAUGCUCUUAAGCUUUUUUUCUUAAGUUCAGUGGCACCUGGUGUUGGCAUAAUUUUUAUUGUCCAACAAAUAGCUCUUCACUUGGCUACAUAAAUGAUAUAACCAUGAGGUGAAGGUAGCAUUGUUAUCACUAUUUUAUAUAUGUGAAAACUGAGACCCAGGUUAAUUCUGCAAAGAUCUAGCUGCUCUGGAUUUGAACAUGUUCUUCCUGAUGUAUAAUUAGCGUAUGGUAAAAAAAAUUCAAAUUUUGAGUGUAUAGCCUUGUAACUUUUUACAAAUGUAACUUUUUUUAAAGUUCGUAGUUGAUUAAUCCUCUCAUGAAAAAUCUGCACAGUCACCACAGGUAAAGUCACCGCAGAAUCUUUCCUCCUUCUGUUGUCCAAUCUCCAGUUCACUCUUUGCCAGCACUGAUACUAGCUUUCGCAGUCCCCUGACUUUCUUCAUUCUGUUCUUGUGUUCUUUUCGCUGUUUUCUUGAGGUCUUUUUCUUCUCAUACAGGCCAUGCCUUGCAAGUCUAUGUUUGGGUUCAUUUUUCUCUGCAUAAUCCAAGGAAUCAGAAAUCAUGCCAAAGCCAGUUGUCUUCCCACCACCAGAAUGGGUUCUGAAUCCAAAUACAAA